Molecule: ribosomal RNA, 763 nt
Filed under: Alloprevotella tannerae
Lineage: Bacteria; Pseudomonadati; Bacteroidota; Bacteroidia; Bacteroidales; Prevotellaceae
Description: bacterial SSU rRNA
Rfam family: Bacterial small subunit ribosomal RNA
Source: RNAcentral
GAUGAACGCUAGCUACAGGCUUAACACAUGCAAGUCGAGGGGAAACGGCAUUGAGUGCUUGCACUCUUUGGACGUCGACCGGCGCACGGGUGAGUAACGCGUACCGAACCUGCCCAUCACACAGGGAUAGGCUUGCGAAAGCAAGAUUAAUACCUGAUGGUCUCAGUUGUAUGCAUGUAUGAUUGAGUAAAGCCUUCGGGCGGUGAUGGAUGGCGGUGCGUCCCAUUAGGAAGUUGGCGGGGUAACGGCCCACCAAUCCUUCGAUGGGUAGGGGUUCUGAGAGGAAGGUCCCCCACAUUGGAACUGAGAUACGGUCCAAACUCCUACGGGAGGCAGCAGUGAGGAAUAUUGGUCAAUGGGCGAGAGCCUGAACCAGCCAAGUAGCGUGCGGGAAGAAGGCCCUUGUGGUCGUAAACCGCUUUUAUCAGUGAAUAAAGUGCAUCACGUGUGGUGUCAUUGCAGGUAGCUGAAGAAAAAGGACCGGCUAAUUCCGUGCCAGCAGCCGCGGUAAUACGGAAGGUCCGGGCGUUAUCCGGAAUUAUUGGGUUUAAAGGGAGCGCAGGCGGGAGUGUAAGUCAGCUGUUAAAUAUCAGGGCCCAACUCUGUUAUGCAGUUGAAACUAUAUUUCUUGAGUACGCACAGGGAUGGCGGAAUUCAGGGUGUAGCGGUGAAAUGCUUAGAUAUCCUGAAGAACUCCGAUCGCGAAGGCAGCCAUCCGGAGCGUAACUGACGCUGAGGCUCGAAGGUGCGGGUAUCAAACAGG